This 434-nucleotide ribosomal RNA is filed under the name Campylobacter gracilis. Its description in RNAcentral is "bacterial SSU rRNA". It matches the Rfam family "Bacterial small subunit ribosomal RNA", at positions 29 to 478 of the family's 1533-position model. Lineage: Bacteria; Pseudomonadati; Campylobacterota; Epsilonproteobacteria; Campylobacterales; Campylobacteraceae. The record is from RNAcentral.
AGUGAACGCUGGCGGCGUGCCUAAUACAUGCAAGUCGAACGGAAUUUAAAAGAGCUUGCUCUUUUAAAUUUAGUGGCGCACGGGUGAGUAAUAUAUAGCUAAUCUGCCCCUUGCUGGAGGACAACAGUUAGAAAUGACUGCUAAUACUCCAUACUCCUUUUUACCAUAAGAUAAAUCGGGAAAGAAUUUCGGCAAGGGAUGAGACUAUAUCGUAUCAGCUAGUCGGUGGGGUAACGGCCUACCGAGGCUAUGACGCGUAACUGGUCUGAGAGGAUGAUCAGUCACAUUGGAACUGAGACACGGUCCAAACUCCUACGGGAGGCAGCAGUAGGGAAUAUUGCGCAAUGGGGGAAACCCUGACGCAGCAACGCCGCGUGGAGGAUGACACUUUUCGGAGCGUAAACUCCUUUUGUUAGGGAAGAAUAAGACGGUAC